AUUGCUUCUGCCACAGGAAGGUUAACCUGGGACUGAGUUUCUCUCCCUGAGCUGUCAGAGGCCCAUCUGGGACCUGCUUCCAUAACUCCGUCCAGGGCUCUAGGACUGCUCUCUACCUUCUUCCAUCCCGGGAUGGCCAGUAAUAAGACCAGCACUGCACCAGAGCCUCACCUGUCCUCCAGAUGGCGCCCCCCUGGCUGACUCCUUUAUCCUUCAGCUGCACCCAAAGGAACUCAAAGUCAUCCCGUCUGCCCAUGCCCACCUGUCACCUGAAUGUCCCUCCAGUAAGAAGGAAAAGGACCUCUUAGGAUGGCUUCUACCCACAAAUACCUUUCCCGUCGGUCAGCAACCAUCCUAAAGUCUGAAUAGCCCAUCUGUCUCACUGCUGUGGGUUUAAAAACGAAGCAGGACACAUCAAGUUUGUGCUGAUACCUUUCCCAGUGUCCCACCGACCACGGGGUUACAACCCUGGACCAGGGGGGUAUGUCUGUCCACUUCUUUGCCUUUGUGCCUUUGCUCAUUCUGAUCCACCUAGUACAGUCCUCGUCCCUAAAGAUUCAGUUCAAAUAUUACACGAACAGAAAGCCAUCCAUGUUCGGGAUUGCCUAAUCUAUAGGGCCAAAGGAAGGUGCAGUAGCCUUGGCGCCAGACUGCCAGAACGAGAUCCCGAUGGGCUGGGACAGGGUCCGUCAUAGGUUAGGAACAAGGGAGCUGCUAACUUGCUCGGGUGGCCCGUCUGCGACCGGGGAUAGAAGGAUGGAGGGACGUAGGUUUGUCCGCAAGCGACAGACAGUGUCGCGCUGCACGACAGGCAGCAUGGCCACCCCAAGCCCAGACCUGGAGCUCAGCCCAGCCGUGCGCACCUCCGCCCCUGCCUCCGCCGCCCCGGCCUCCGCUCCGUCUGGUCCCGCGCCUGCUUCUCCGGGGCCGCGGGGCUCCGCUGCCUUGCAGCUCCCCGGGUCAGCACCGACGAGGUCUCCAUGACUGUCAGCGACUGCCGACCGCUAAGCCCUCCAGACACUGCUCCAACAGCCAAUCGCAAGCCUGGGCCUGCCCCUGCCGCAGCUCUCAGCCAAUGGUGAGUGUGCAGCGCCGCGGUUGGCUCGCACCGAGUUCCGGCUAGGAUCUGUCCACGUUCUGCAAGCGGCGGGUGUAGAGCCUGAGUUAAAUAACCGGAGAGACGGGGCGGGACCUGAUGGGCGGGGUCUAGGAGAAAGGCGGGGCUGCGUGGAUCCUGAGCCCAAGGUUCUGAGACCCAAAAAAGUGUUAUUUAGAGUUAGCCACGAAGUUUUCUUUCCAGACGAAUGAAACAAUCUGCCAGCGACAACCAAGUCGGUACACGUUAGCAAUGAGCCCUGGAACUGGGCCACAGAGACUGGUGGCCUAGCUUCCCUGGGUCCCUGGCUCCUUGGAUCCCUGGAUUCCUGGAUGGGAUCUAAUAUUACAGGCACCUGUAAUAUUCUGCUUUUUUUAAGAAAUUAAAAUAUAAUUACAUGUU
RNAcentral lists this long non-coding RNA (1498 nucleotides) under Mus musculus (house mouse). RNAcentral's name for it is "predicted gene 11748". The record is from RNAcentral. Lineage: Eukaryota; Metazoa; Chordata; Mammalia; Rodentia; Muridae.